UACAGAGGUCUCAACCGUUGUUCGGAUUCAUUGGGCGUAAAGGGUGCGUAGGCGGUCGCGCAAGUCGGAUGUGAAAUCUCAGGGCUCAACCCUGAAACUGCAUUCGAUACUGCGUGGCUAGAGUGCUGGAGAGGAGACUGGAAUUUACGGUGUAGCAGUGAAAUGCGUAGAUAUCGUAAGGAAGACCAGUGGCGAAGGCGAGUCUCUGGACAGCAACUGACGCUGAGGCACGAAGGCCAGGGGAGCAAACGGG
RNAcentral lists this ribosomal RNA (253 nucleotides) under uncultured bacterium. RNAcentral's name for it is "partial 16S ribosomal RNA". It matches the Rfam family "Bacterial small subunit ribosomal RNA", at positions 524 to 776 of the family's 1533-position model. The record is from RNAcentral. RNAcentral also lists the same sequence under 3 other names.